CCUACGGGAGGCUGCAGUGGGGAAUAUUGCGCAAUGGGCGAAAGCCUGACGCAGCGACGCCGCGUGAGAGAUGAAGGUCUUCGGAUCGUAAACCUCUGUCAGCAGGGAAGAACGGUCACUGUGCUAAUCAGCAGUGAAUUGACGGUACCUUCACAGGAAGCACCGGCUAACUCCGUGCCAGCAGCGGCGGUAAUACGGCGGGUGCGAGCGUUAAUCGGAAUUACUGGGCGUAAGGCGCUCGUAGGCGGUAUGUAAAGUCAAGGGUGAAAUCCCCGCGUUCAAGGUGGGAACUGCCUUUGAAACUGGCAAACUGGAGUGUGUGAGAGGAUAGUGGAAUUCCAGGUGUAGGAGUGAAAUGCGUAGAUAUCUGGAGGAACAUCAGUGGCGAAGGCGACUAUCUGGCACAUAACUGACGCUGAGGAGCGAAAGCGUGGGUAGCAAACAGGAUUAGAUACCCGAGUAGUC
Molecule: ribosomal RNA, 465 nt
Filed under: uncultured bacterium
Lineage: Bacteria
Description: partial 16S ribosomal RNA
Rfam family: Bacterial small subunit ribosomal RNA
Source: RNAcentral